UGGGGAAUAUUGCACAAUGGGCGCAAGCCUGAUGCAGCCAUGCCGCGUGUGUGAAGAAGGCCUUCGGGUUGUAAAGCACUUUCAGCGAGGAGGAAGGUGGUGAACUUAAUACGUUCAUCAAUUGACGUUACUCGCAGAAGAAGCACCGGCUAACUCCGUGCCAGCAGCCGCGGUAAUACGGAGGGUGCAAGCGUUAAUCGGAAUUACUGGGCGUAAAGCGCACGCAGGCGGUUUGUUAAGUCAGAUGUGAAAUCCCCGGGCUCAACCUGGGAACUGCAUUUGAAACUGGCAAGCUAGAGUCUCGUAGAGGGGGGCUAGAAUUCCAGGUGUAGCGGUGAAAUGCGUAGAGAUCUGGAGGAAUACCGGUGGCG
This 371-nucleotide ribosomal RNA is filed under the name uncultured bacterium. Its description in RNAcentral is "partial 16S ribosomal RNA". It matches the Rfam family "Bacterial small subunit ribosomal RNA", at positions 355 to 717 of the family's 1533-position model. The record is from RNAcentral.